CCUACGGGAGGCAGCAGUGAGGAAUAUUGGUCAAUGGGCGCGAGCCUGAACCAGCCAAGUAGCGUGAAGGAUGACUGCCCUACGGGUUGUAAACUUCUUUUAUAAAGGAAUAAAGUGAGCCACGUGUGCCCUUUUGUAUGUACCUUAUGAAUAAGGAUCGGCUAACUCCGUGCCAGCAGCCGCGGUAAUAAGGAGGAUCCGAGCGUUAUCCGGAUUUAUUGGGUUUAAAGGGGUCGUAGGUGGGUUGUUAAGUCAGUUGUGAAAGUUUGCGGCUUAAACGUAAAAUUGCAAUUGAAACUGGCAGUCUUGAGUACGGUUGAGGUAGGCGGAAUUCGUGGUGUAGCGGUGAAAUGCUUAGAUAUCACGAAGAACGCCGAUUGCGAAGGCAGCCUACUAGACUGCCACUGACAUUGAUGCUCGAAAGUGUGGGUAUCAAACAGGAUUAGAUACCCUUGUAGUC
This 460-nucleotide ribosomal RNA is filed under the name uncultured bacterium. RNAcentral's name for it is "partial 16S ribosomal RNA". It matches the Rfam family "Bacterial small subunit ribosomal RNA", at positions 338 to 795 of the family's 1533-position model. The record is from RNAcentral.